GCCGGGUGCGGUGGCUCACACCUGUAAUCCCAGCACUUUGGGAGGCUGAGGUGGGUGGAUCACCUGAGGUCGGGAGUUCAAGACCAGCCUGACCAACAUGGAGAAACCCCAUCUCUA
RNAcentral lists this small RNA (117 nucleotides) under Macaca fascicularis (crab-eating macaque). Its description in RNAcentral is "Metazoan signal recognition particle RNA (ENSMFAG00000052424.1)". The record is from Rfam by way of RNAcentral. Lineage: Eukaryota; Metazoa; Chordata; Mammalia; Primates; Cercopithecidae.